AUGGAGAAGAGGAACAUGAUGCCGAUGUUGCCCGUGGAGAAGAGAACCUGCAUGAAUCAGAUGAAUCGGACCAUGAACUUGAAGGCCAAGGCGGUGUUUUCCAGAGCAUGGAAGAGGAAGUGCAAGCAAUGGAUGAAGCUCUACAUAACCUUCGAGUUGACGAGGAAGACUAUGGUGUGUAUGCAGGCGAUAUAG
Molecule: ribosomal RNA, 195 nt
Filed under: Triticum aestivum (bread wheat)
Lineage: Eukaryota; Viridiplantae; Streptophyta; Magnoliopsida; Poales; Poaceae
Description: partial small subunit ribosomal RNA
Source: RNAcentral